CAACAAAGAUCAAGCCCGGAGCUCCCCCACACCCCGCAGCACCGACCCACCCAUAUCCACCUUCUUCCCCGACCGCGCCCAAAUCCUAGCCUCCACCUUCUCUCCUUCGGCCGGCGAGCAAGCCACCAGCGCCGCCCCCGCGGGCUUCCACCACACCGCCUCGAGCUUCCCCUCCCCUUUCCCCACCUCCGCCCGCCAUCGCCUCCGCAGUGAGGCGCAGUGCGUUUCCAGUUCGAGGCGCGCCACCGGCCAAUAACCACCUCGGGCUACCGGCGCGGAUCCGUCGACCCACCGAACUCACCACCAUGGAUGGCCACCUGCAUCGCUGGAUGGGGUCACCUCCAACCCCAAUGGUAGGAUCUACCCAUCCCGUGGUUUCCUCUUCGUGGAUCUGGAUCCGGGCGAGGAGGCCGCCCUCUCCUGUAGACCACGCCGCGCCCAACAGCCCCAACCGGCGACCGUACCCUUCCCCGGUGACCCGCCGCUCCACUCGUGCCCCACCACCUCUCGGUCGCCGUCCCUUAGCCCCCCACACCCCAGCCAUCUUCCCCGUCGGGCGGCGCACCUCCCUGUAGUACCAUACCCGUAGGCCGCACGAUGCGACCCCUCUGCUGGCCCCCGACGGUGCCGAUGCGCUUCCCACAACCACCUCAAAUCUCUGUCCAUCGCUCCGCCUGAGAUCCAGCAGUCGCCACCAUCCGUCAUCCUCUUCUUCCUUCCGACGUCUACACAUGCGGGGCCACCCUUCCUUCUCUGGUCUAGAUACAGGCGAGAGCGACCAGUGGCAGCAGCGCCGGCUCUCCUGCCUCCCCUCCCCUCUGACGAGCUGGCCUGAAGACGGUGGAGGCUCCCGAUGCAGUUCGAUUCAUGGGUGGUGUAGGUCCGCCGGAGUUUUGCUGGAUCGCUGUGUCGUGCAGUUUGCUCGUCGAGGCCGUGCAGUUCGUGCGUCGCGGCCGUGCAGUUCCCGGUGGAAGAGCACUGGCGCCCCCCGGCAUGAGGUUCAGCCAACAAUCGAAAAAACAUGGAUGAUUUGUGGACGGCUAAGAAGUUUUCCUGUGUGCAACUCUGUUCUGUCAUCUUUGCAGCUUUGUUCUUCUCUAUGUGCAGUGCAAAAAGUUUGGAUGAUGUGCAUCCGGCGACGGAUGGCUCCUGCUUUGUCUCUUGAAUCUUCUUAUGAUAUUUCUCUUCCAUGCGGUGUGUGGUUGCUGAA
Triticum dicoccoides is the source of this 1210-nucleotide long non-coding RNA. RefSeq lists it as uncharacterized. The transcript has 2 exons. Lineage: Eukaryota; Viridiplantae; Streptophyta; Magnoliopsida; Poales; Poaceae. The record is from RefSeq and is a predicted model, not a curated record.